Molecule: transfer RNA, 71 nt
Filed under: Stegodyphus mimosarum
Lineage: Eukaryota; Metazoa; Arthropoda; Arachnida; Araneae; Eresidae
Rfam family: tRNA
About the family: Transfer RNA (tRNA) molecules are approximately 80 nucleotides in length. Their secondary structure includes four short double-helical elements and three loops (D, anti-codon, and T loops). Further hydrogen bonds mediate the characteristic L-shaped molecular structure. tRNAs have two regions of fundamental functional importance: the anti-codon, which is responsible for specific mRNA codon recognition, and the 3' end, to which the tRNAs corresponding amino acid is attached (by aminoacyl-tRNA synthetases). tRNAs cope with the degeneracy of the genetic code in two manners: having more than one tRNA (with a specific anti-codon) for a particular amino acid; and 'wobble' base-pairing, i.e. permitting non-standard base-pairing at the 3rd anti-codon position.
Source: Rfam by way of RNAcentral
GCCUUCGUGGUGUAAUGGUAGCACACUCGGCGAGUAUUCCAGAGGUCCAGGUUCGAGGCCCGGCGAAGGCA